This 832-nucleotide ribosomal RNA is filed under the name Calepitrimerus fopingi. RNAcentral describes it as "partial 18S ribosomal RNA". It matches the Rfam family "Eukaryotic small subunit ribosomal RNA", at positions 389 to 910 of the family's 1831-position model. The record is from RNAcentral. Lineage: Eukaryota; Metazoa; Arthropoda; Arachnida; Trombidiformes; Eriophyidae.
ACAAGCCUGAGAAACGGCUAGUAGGACUAAGGUCUGCAGCAGGCGCGAAACUUACACAAUGCUAGAUUACAAUUAGCGAUGUAGUGAAGAAAAAUAACGAUGUACUUCCAUUUAAACAUGGUAGUACAAUUGGAAUGAGACGACUAUAAACCAGUUAGUCGAGUAACAAAUGGAGGGCAAGUCUGGUGCCAGCAGCCGCGGUAAUUCCAGCUCCAUUAGCAUACAUUAAAGUUGUUGCGGUUAAAAAGCUCGUAGUUGAAUUUUAGGCGAGCUCUAUUGGGAUGCAACCGUCAAGGGUUGCCCAUCUAUAUGGGCCAACCUGGUUGUCAUUUGCCUAUAGGAGCUCGCUGUUUCGUCACUUAUUCGAGUGCGAAGCGGGCUGGAACGAUGGUCACUUCGGUGCACCUUGUUACAGCAAGUUUACCUUGAGAAAAUUAGAGUGCUCACAGCAGGCAGUUGGGGUGUAAAAACCUCUUUAUGCUUGAAUAAUGUUGCAUGGAAUAAUAGAAUACGGCCUCGGUUCUAUUCUGUUGGUCUUAUAGAACAACAAACAAGUUGGUUGGAGCGAUCAAAAGUUCGUUUGUGAGUGUGGCCUUAGUGAAUGCGGUUCACAUUGUUCGUGUUUUCUGUUUUAAUCAUCAAGCGCCGACUUGUUACCUGGGGCCUCAAAAUCUCAGUGUCUUGUCCACUUGUUGCUCUUAAUUCAGAACCCUACUUGUGCCGUUAUGACCUAUGGUCAUUUAAAGCACUCCUUACUGGGCUAGCUUCUUAAUCAACUGAGGCAAUGGUUAAAAGAAAUAGUCGCGGCGGCAUCAGUACUGCAUCGUGAGAG